RNAcentral lists this long non-coding RNA (2149 nucleotides) under Mus musculus (house mouse). RNAcentral's name for it is "long non-coding RNA chr15:6333293-6335442". Lineage: Eukaryota; Metazoa; Chordata; Mammalia; Rodentia; Muridae. The record is from RNAcentral.
GACAAUAUACCAAAGAUUCCUCAAAGCAUUUGGAUCUUCAGGUAAGCAGAAUCCUAAAAAAGGACAAGUGUGUGUGUGUGUGUGUGUGUGUGUGUGUGUGUGUGUGUGCUGGGUGUGCUGGCACACACCCUUAAUCUUAGCACUCCAGCAGGUAGAGGCAGGUAGAUCUUUGAGUUGGAGGCAAAUCUGAUCUCCAGAGUGAGUUCCAGAGUAGCCAGGGAUGCACAGAGAAACCCUGUAUUGGAACAGUAACAAUAAAGAGAAAACAAAAUAAAUUUUCAUGCAAAAAUUAAAAUAUAUAAUUCAUAAUAGUUUAGGGCUGUGAAUCAUGAAAGUUAAUUAUGCUAUAUAUAACUGUAAAGGGUAGGAUGUUAUGCUUUUAGGAUUCAGAUGGAUAUAGCAUAACUCAGAAUAUUGGUUGUAUUUUGACAGUGGAUCUCUAACCUGGCUCCACAAAAGAAUUUACUACAUACAGAGCUUCUGCAAAACGUCCAUCACAGAUACAUUAAAAUCAAAACUUACAGAAAAGAAACUCCUAACGUUAACAUUAUUAUGAAUAUAGUGAUCUGAUAUAAAGCUGGGGGUAGGGUGAGUCAGUAGCUUGAAUGAUGGCCUUCCUUGGUGCCCUUAACCAGAGUUUACCAAGCAUGACUGAUAAUGCCAUGGAAAGCAAACUCCUGGUACAGAGAGACUUAGACUUAACGGGUCCUCACUAAUGGGCACAUAAAUGAAUUGGUGGUAGAGGUGAUACAGUUGUCAGGGAUGGAAAUCUCUAUCUUUGAGAGUCUCUUAAAACAAAGCUUUAAAAAAAUUAUUUAUUUAUUUUAUGUAUAUGAGUACACUGUUGCUGUCUUCAGACACACCAGAAGAGUGCAUCGGAUCCCAUUACAGAUGAUUGUAAGCCACCAUGUGGUUGCUGGGAAUUCAACUCAGGACCUCUGGAAGAGCAGUCAGUGCUCUUAACCACUGAGCCAUCUCUCCAGCCCAAGGCAAAGCACUUCAUAUGAUGAUCCAGAGUCCUAGAAAUAGUUUUGAUACACAUCAUUUUGGUUUACUAAGCUGAAACCUUAACUGGGUCAGACUACUGGGUUCCGGGGUGAUUUCAUCUUUACUGAAAAUAUGACUUUGACCUUGCUUGAUGCAAAACAACUCAAGGUUUGAUUUCUAAAUGGGUUUCCCUGGUUAAAUUUACAAAACAGGGAGACCGCUUUGAUAAAAAUAUGCUUUUGAUGAGAUUUUGGAAUUCAUUGCUGGAUAUACUCUGUGAGUACUUGCACCAUGUCAACUUGAAAGAAAAGAGCAAAUAUAUUAUAUUUUGGGGGAAGGGGAGUUUUUUAUGUUUUAGACAGGGUCCUAUUAUGAAACUCAGGCUAUUCUCAAACUCAAAGGCCUCCUAUCUCAGUCUCCUGGUUGCUAGGACAUUGUCAAGCUUAAAUGAUUAGACUGUCAAACUGAACUGAAUUGCGAGUAAGAUUCUUAAACUGUCCCAUGAUCUAUCACUCUACUCUUCCAUUCUCCACAGGCCAGUGCUUCUCAGGCUUUUCCAUUUGUGUCUGUUAGAUCACCUUUCUCCUUGUGGGAGGUCCAACUCACACAGCCCAUUCUGAGUGGAGCUUAACUUCCUAAUUUGCAACUGUGUCUGUUUCCACUGACCAGCAGUAUUUUAUCUUUUGUGGUUUUGGAGGCCUCUCAAUCCAUCCUUCCUCUAUAAUAGAAAAAGUAGAAAUAGUCACUCUGCAUUUUUCCUCUCCAGUCCUUCUGACACCAACCCCACUUCCUGUUCAGAUAGGGGCUCCUCUACUGGAGGAUAAUGCAACUUGCCACCUGCUCCCUGAUUUCUGUCAAACUGGUAGAGUUUGAACUCUGCCUUGUUGUGUUCUAAGGUUACCUCAGAAUGGAACAUUUGAGAGUUCUUUAGUAUUUCUAAAGUCAACACUACCAGAUAUGCCUGUUCCAGGGCAGGGGAGAUACUGUUUUUAAAAUUGCACUUCAAUACAUCCCUUGACGUGUCCUUGGACUUAUCAGUCAAGACAGACCUUUGAAUCAACAGUUGCUAGCCACUAGGCAUGGUGGUGCAUACCUACUGAGCUAGCAUUUGGGAGAUUAAAGCUAAAGGAUUGCAUCCCAGAGCAGCCUGAGCUAUGAAAGG